Long non-coding RNA from Brassica napus (rape), 397 nucleotides. RefSeq lists it as uncharacterized. The record is from RefSeq and is a predicted model, not a curated record. The transcript has 2 exons. Lineage: Eukaryota; Viridiplantae; Streptophyta; Magnoliopsida; Brassicales; Brassicaceae.
GACUUCUAAAAUAUGCUUAGUUUGUUGGUAUUUUGUUUGAUUGUAGAGGUUUGAUGUACCGAUUACUGACUAGACAAAAUUGAAACGACAUACAAUGAAGAUACACAUAAAACUGAGGGUAUUAAUACUACCAUCCGCUUCAAAGGCUGAUGCCGGACUGACUACGGUUCGUCAACAUGGAGGUGUUAAGAAGAUUGAGUCAAUACCACUGUCUGAGCUGAAUCCAUAUGUACUGAGUUCACUCCCCAGGUUGGACACUCUACAAAGAAGGCACACCAUGGUUGAACUUUAGAGCCUGGGAGUCCAUGAUAUUGUUUUAUAUUUUCACAGUUACUCUAAUCCUUUUUUUUAUUUAAUUCCAAAAAUUUGUAGCAUCAAUAUGUUCCAGUUUGAUGUC